UACUGGAAAAGUCCCUCUCCCAAAGCUCCGGCGCCCAAGGACGGGACUGCGGCCCAUCAGGUAGUUGGCGGGGUAACGGCCCACCAAGCCGACAACGGGUACGGGCUGUGAGAGCAGGAGCCCGGAGAUGGAGACUGAGACAAGGCUCCAGGCCCUACGGGGCGCAGCAGGUGCGAAAACUUCGCAAUGCGUGCAAGCGUGACGAGGGGACCCCAAGUGCCGAUGGUCUUUCUGAUCGUCGGCUUUUCAAGAGUUUAAAUCGCUCUUGGAAUAAGAGCUGGGUAAGACUGGUGCCAGCCGCCGCGGUAACACCAGCAGCUCAGGUGGUGGUCGCGAUUAUUGGGCCUAAAGCGUCUGUAGCCGGGCCAGUAAGUCCCCUGUGAAAUCGGACGGCUCAACCGUUCGGCGUGCAGGGGAAACUACAGGCCUCGAGGCCGGGAGACGUCGAGGGUACUCCGGGGGUAGCGGUGAAAUGCUGUAAUCCCUGGGGGACCACCAGUGGCGUAGGCGCUCGACGAGAACGGACCUGACGGUGAGGGACGAAAGCUGGGGGAGCGAACCGGAUUAGAUACCCGGGUAGUCCCAGCUGUAAAGUAUGUGGGCUAGGUGUAGGGCGCUCCACGAGGGCGCCCGGUGCCGUAGGGAAGCCGUUAAGCCAGCCGCCUGGGAAGUACGGCCGCAAGGCUGAAACUUAAAGGAAUUGGCGGGGGAGCACCACAAGGGGUGAAGGCUGCGGUUUAAUUGGACUCAACGCCGGUAAUCGAAUUCCCGC
Molecule: ribosomal RNA, 772 nt
Filed under: uncultured archaeon
Lineage: Archaea
Description: bacterial SSU rRNA
Rfam family: Archaeal small subunit ribosomal RNA
Source: RNAcentral